GCCCAGGUGGCUCAGUUGGUAGAGCAUGUGACUAUUGAUCUCAAGGUUGUAAGUUCAAUCCUCACGUUGGGUA
This is a non-coding RNA of Lutra lutra (Eurasian river otter), 73 nucleotides long. Lineage: Eukaryota; Metazoa; Chordata; Mammalia; Carnivora; Mustelidae. The record is from the annotation of a RefSeq genome assembly.